This 952-nucleotide long non-coding RNA is filed under the name Homo sapiens (human). Its description in RNAcentral is "HSALNT0301166". The record is from RNAcentral. Lineage: Eukaryota; Metazoa; Chordata; Mammalia; Primates; Hominidae.
CCCACCAAUUCCGGACACACCUGGAAUUCUUUGGAAGGCUGAAGCAAGAGGAUCAUUUGAGGCCAGGAGUUUGAGAAAUUCUAUGUGAUAUAAAGCAGAUGCAUAAAAUUUGCCCACAUCUGCAACUUACUUAUAAAAUGUUUUUUUCAAGAGACUGGAACUUCUAGUGCAUAAAUACAGUUUGGGUUUAAAAACCCAGAAUCCUGAAAAAAAUGGCUCUACUUAAAAAACGACUGUUUUUGGUAGUUGAACAGUAAUUUAAAGGGCUCUUCAGUGACGUUAGAAAUCAUUAAAUCCAAUUCUUUCCUUUUAAAUGUAAGGAAGCUGUUGAAGAAAAGUCCCAUGCUGUGUUUUAUGUUUUGAAGCCGAGGCCAAAUGUGGAGAUGGCAUAACCAGAAGAGGGAACGAACUGGCCUGGAUGUGACUCAUGCUUGGAAGGGAGCUGUCUGGAAGGACCACAGUACCUGCAGCCAACUUUGUGUGAGAAAGAAGUGAAGUAUAGCCAUUGAGUAGGCUGCCAAUAGUGCCUGCCAGAGACACUCAGGAGAGAUUAUAUGCUAAAUCCACCAGACCCUUUGUCUAAGGGCAGGACGUCACCUCUUCAGAAACUGUUUUUCUUCUUGUGGUAAUUAUUAAUUCUCUGCAGUGAUUUAGAAGAAUUCUUGUACUAAAUGUCUUGCCAUUAAAAGUUUGAUGAGUAUAGAAACUGACAGUAGAACUAUUUUUAAAAGUAAUUCUACUUCUAACCCAAACUUCUUACUCUAGCUAUUAUUUUACCACGACGUGAGUUGUACGAAUCACCUCCAAUUUACAUAUUAUGGAAGAGCCUUACAUGGAAAAGAAGAAAUCAUUUUCAAAUUAGACAUUCCAUCUAGAACUGUCAGUAGCUGAUUCCCAUCACUGUCUUUUAUUUCUUCAUGCUUUUAGAUGAGAGUAAUCAUAUCUGCAGUAA